GGUGAACUAUGCCUGGACGGGGCGAAGCCAGAGGAAGCUCCAGCGGCGGUCCAUAGUGGUCCUGACAUGCAAAUUGGUCGUCCGACCUGGGUAUAUGGGGCGAGAAACCUCAGAAACC
RNAcentral lists this non-coding RNA (118 nucleotides) under Capra hircus (goat). RNAcentral describes it as "Eukaryotic large subunit ribosomal RNA". It matches the Rfam family "Eukaryotic large subunit ribosomal RNA", at positions 825 to 941 of the family's 3401-position model. The record is from Rfam by way of RNAcentral. RNAcentral also lists the same sequence under 1 other name. Lineage: Eukaryota; Metazoa; Chordata; Mammalia; Artiodactyla; Bovidae.